GAUGAAGAACGUAGCGAAAUGCGAUACGUAAUGUGAAUUGUAGAAUUCAGUGAAUCAUCGAAUCUUUGAACGCAUAUUGCGCUCUUUGGUAUUCCGAAGAGCAUGCUUGUUUGAGUAUCAGUAAACACCUCAACCUCUUCUUGAUUUUUCAAAAGGAGGGUGGACUUGAGCUAUCCCAACAACCUUUACCGGUCAGCGGGCGGCUUGAAAUGCAGGUGCAGCUGGACUUUUAUCUGAGCUAAAAGCAUAUCUAUUUAGUCCUCGUCAAACAGGAUUAUUACUUUUGCUGCAGCUAACAUAAAGGAUAAUUGUCCUCUUUGCUGACUGAUGCAGGAUUUUACGACACUUUAUGUGUUGUUCAACUCGAUCUCAAAUCAAGUAAGACUACCCGCUGAACUUAAGCAUAUCAAUAAGCGGAGGA
RNAcentral lists this unclassified non-coding RNA (421 nucleotides) under soil metagenome. Its description in RNAcentral is "partial contains 5.8S ribosomal RNA, internal transcribed spacer 2, and large subunit ribosomal RNA". The stretch from base 1 to 120 matches the Rfam family "5.8S ribosomal RNA", at positions 35 to 154 of the family's 154-position model. The record is from RNAcentral.